RNAcentral lists this ribosomal RNA (162 nucleotides) under uncultured bacterium. RNAcentral's name for it is "partial 16S ribosomal RNA". It matches the Rfam family "Bacterial small subunit ribosomal RNA", at positions 374 to 528 of the family's 1533-position model. The record is from RNAcentral.
GGGGAAACCCUGAUGCAGCCAUGCCGCGUGUGUGAAGAAGGCCUUCGGGUUGUAAAGCACUUUCAGUGGUGAGGAAGGAUGUAAGAUUAAUACUCUUGCAUAUUGACGUUAGCCACAGAAGAAGCACCGGCUAACUCCGUGCCAGCAGCCGCGGUAAUUAAA